Molecule: long non-coding RNA, 500 nt
Organism: Vespa crabro (European hornet)
Lineage: Eukaryota; Metazoa; Arthropoda; Insecta; Hymenoptera; Vespidae
Exons: 3
Source: RefSeq, a predicted model, not a curated record
CGACAGCAAGCAUGUCUUCGAUUUCAUCGGCACAAGUUAAUCUGAGUAUUGGAAAUGAAAGUAAGAGACAACAGGAGAACAAAAACAUUACUCGUGAUGGUGCUGUCAUCUGCAAAUGAAAAGGAGAAUUUUCUUACGAGAUUCUCGAUGAACAUGUUCAAUCCUAAAAAUCUUGCUUCCUUUAACGCAUUGAUGAUGUAAAGGAUAGCACCAAUCUCCAUGAAAAAUUCGGCUAUUAAACGAAUUUUUGCUGAUAUAGAAUUUAUGUGCAUUAAUCUGCAUUCCUUUUCAUUUUACUUACGGAUAUAUUAGCUAUGAAAUGGGCUAUAAAGCAUUAAAUGAAUAUGAGACAGAGAGAGAGAGAGAGAGAGAGAGAGAGAAGUCCGGUCUACGAUCGACGUGAAGAACGGAGCGAGAGAGAAAGAUAUACAUAAUGGUAAAGUUGGUUGCAUUAAUUAUGCAUUGAAUGAAUGAUUAGUUUUAUUUUUGCAAAAUGAAAA